ACGUUACAGCAAAAAGUACUACAUUACUGUAACUCCAUUACUUUUGUAACGCGUUACACCCAACUCUGUAGAUUACUGUAGAGGGAAAAUCAUCGGAAGUACAACGCUUAAUAAGGCUCUACAUGGCAACUACAUGGUAACAACAUUGCACAGAGGAAGUCAAAGUAUGGGCCCAUUAGAACCAAAAUCUGGUAUAACGUUACGCCAGCCGAUAACUCUGAUUAUUAACUUGUACAAAUAAAGUAACCCCUGCUACAUUUUAAGAACUAAGCCUAACCCUUUCCUGUCACAGGAGACAAGCACAUAUUUCAACCACUGAUCCCACACAUGGGUGUUCAUUUGGCUAACAACUUUGCUAGUUCAGCUCGACAUUAGCUUAACUUGCUAACAUAUAAUCCUGUCCCACUGAAGAACCAAACAAAGAAUUUACCAAACUUGAGGCAUAGACCACCAAAGUCCAACACUCCAGGCCUGGAUAGACCCGUGUACUCGUUUAGAUACCGGAACCUGAAGGAUAUAAACAUGGUACAAGCCCAGAGUGUCGCAGGGCGGUCGUUCUUCAACCGUAGAGCCUCGGAUUCCCAGAAGCCAUUGCGAAGUCAAGGACGCGGAGAAGCGUUGCUUAGUGACGGCGCGCUGAUUGAAGGCACCUGGCUGAGCAGUUAAAGGCCGGAGCCAGAGUCUUGUCCGGUCUCUCUUUUGGCUGAAGGACUCUGGGGAGAGCAGCCUCGUUUAUGCUUAGGUUCCCUUUUGUUUUGGUUCGGCAUGCAACACCCUGCAUCAUACCAUGUUCACACAUCCACAUCUACGCUACUGAUCUUACUGACCAACACACCUCAUGAUGGUAG
This is a long non-coding RNA of Eleginops maclovinus (Patagonian blennie), 848 nucleotides long. RefSeq lists it as uncharacterized. The transcript has 3 exons. The record is from RefSeq and is a predicted model, not a curated record. Lineage: Eukaryota; Metazoa; Chordata; Actinopteri; Perciformes; Eleginopidae.